AGUGAAUGCCUGUGCGAUGACAAUGGUGGCUGAGAACGUCUCGCUGAUCGACACACUAUUUGCAUCGAGAGGAGAGUAGAGGUAAAUGUGUUAGAAAUAGUGUAGAAGA
Molecule: non-coding RNA, 109 nt
Organism: Caenorhabditis elegans
Lineage: Eukaryota; Metazoa; Nematoda; Chromadorea; Rhabditida; Rhabditidae
Source: Ensembl